Molecule: ribosomal RNA, 440 nt
Filed under: uncultured bacterium
Lineage: Bacteria
Description: partial 16S ribosomal RNA
Rfam family: Bacterial small subunit ribosomal RNA
Source: RNAcentral
CCUACGGGUGGCAGCAGUGGGGAAUAUUGCACAAUGGGGGAAACCCUGAUGCAGCGACGCCGCGUGAAGGAAGAAGUAUUUCGGUAUGUAAACUUCUAUCAGCAGGGAAGAAAAUGACGGUACCUGACUAAGAAGCCCCGGCUAACUACGUGCCAGCAGCCGCGGUAAUACGUAGGGGGCAAGCGUUAUCCGGAUUUACUGGGUGUAAAGGGAGCGUAGGCGGUUUAGCAAGUCAGAAGUGAAAGCCCGGGGCUCAACUCCGGGACUGUUUUUGAAACUGUUGAACUAGAUUGCAGGAGAGGUAAGUGGAAUUCCUAGUGUAGCGGUGAAAUGCUUAGAUAUUGCGCAGAACUCCGAUUGCGAAGGCAGCAUACCGGCGGCGAUCUGACGCUGAGGCACGAAAGCGUGGGUAUCGAACAGGAUUAGAUACCCUGGUAGUC